RNAcentral lists this ribosomal RNA (301 nucleotides) under uncultured bacterium. RNAcentral describes it as "partial 16S ribosomal RNA". It matches the Rfam family "Bacterial small subunit ribosomal RNA", at positions 509 to 807 of the family's 1533-position model. The record is from RNAcentral.
CAGCAGCCGCGGUAAUGCGGAGGGAGCUAGCGUUGUUCGGAAUUACUGGGCGUAAAGCGCACGUAGGCGGUUAUUCAAGUCAGAGGUGAAAGCCCGGGGCUCAACCCCGGAACUGCCUUUGAAACUAGAUGACUGGAAUCUAGGAGAGGUCAGUGGAAUUCCGAGUGUAGAGGUGAAAUUCGUAGAUAUUCGGAAGAACACCAGUGGCGAAGGCGACUGACUGGACAAGUAUUGACGCUGAGGUGCGAAAGCGUGGGGAGCAAACAGGAUUAGAUACCCCCGUAGUCCCUGUCUCUUAUAC